Molecule: ribosomal RNA, 741 nt
Filed under: uncultured Corynebacterium sp.
Lineage: Bacteria; Bacillati; Actinomycetota; Actinomycetes; Mycobacteriales; Corynebacteriaceae
Description: bacterial SSU rRNA
Rfam family: Bacterial small subunit ribosomal RNA
Source: RNAcentral
GACGAACGCUGGCGGCGUGCUUAACACAUGCAAGUCGAACGGAAAGGCCCUGCUUGCAGGGUGCUCGAGUGGCGAACGGGUGAGUAACACGUGGGUGAUCUGCCCCUUACUUUGGGAUAAGCCUGGGAAACUGGGUCUAAUACUGGAUAGGACCAUGCUGUAGGUGGUGUGGUGGAAAGAUUUUUUCGGUAAGGGAUGAGCUCGCGGCCUAUCAGCUUGUUGGUGGGGUAAUGGCCUACCAAGGCGUCGACGGGUAGCCGGCCUGAGAGGGUGGACGGCCACAUUGGGACUGAGAUACGGCCCAGACUCCUACGGGAGGCAGCGGUGGGGAAUAUUGCACAAUGGGCGCAAGCCUGAUGCAGCGACGCCGCGUGGGGGAUGAUGGCCUUCGGGUUGUAAACUCCUUUCAGCCAUGACGAAGCCUCUUUUGGGGUGACGGUAGUGGCAGAAGAAGCACCGGCUAACUACGUGCCAGCAGCCGCGGUAAUACGUAGGGUGCGAGCGUUGUCCGGAAUUACUGGGCGUAAAGAGCUCGUAGGUGGUCUGUCGCGUCAUUUGUGAAAGCCCGGUGCUUAACUCCGGGUUGGCAGGUGAUACGGGCAUGACUGGAGUACUGUAGGGGAGACUGGAAUUCCUGGUGUAGCGGUGAAAUGCGCAGAUAUCAGGAGGAACACCGGUGGCGAAGGCGGGUCUCUGGGCAGUAACUGACGCUGAGGAGCGAAAGCAUGGGUAGCGAACAGG